AUUGAACGCUGGCGGCAGGCCUAACACAUGCAAGUCGAGCGGAUGAAGGGAGCUUGCUCCUGGAUUCAGCGGCGGACGGGUGAGUAAUACCUAGGAAUCUGCCUGGUAGUGGGGGAUAACGUCCGGAAACGGGCGCUAAUACCGCAUACGUCCUGAGGGAGAAAGUGGGGGAUCUUCGGACCUCACGCUAUCAGAUGAGCCUAGGUCGGAUUAGCUAGUUGGUGGGGUAAAGGCCUACCAAGGCGACGAUCCGUAACUGGUCUGAGAGGAUGAUCAGUCACACUGGAACUGAGACACGGUCCAGACUCCUACGGGAGGCAGCAGUGGGGAAUAUUGGACAAUGGGCGAAAGCCUGAUCCAGCCAUGCCGCGUGUGUGAAGAAGGUCUUCGGAUUGUAAAGCACUUUAAGUUGGGAGGAAGGGCAGUAAGUUAAUACCUUGCUGUUUUAACGUUACCAACAGAAUAAGCACCGGCUAACUUCGUG
RNAcentral lists this ribosomal RNA (484 nucleotides) under uncultured bacterium. Its description in RNAcentral is "partial 16S ribosomal RNA". It matches the Rfam family "Bacterial small subunit ribosomal RNA", at positions 30 to 507 of the family's 1533-position model. The record is from RNAcentral.